AUGUGUGCCAUGCCAAGCCUUUAGGCUGAUUUUACAGUCGCGCAAAUAACUGCGCGUAAAAACGCCUCUUAAAAUAUCACAUAUUUUCGGCCGUAUACGCGGCUGAAAUGUAGCCUGAACUUGUAAUUUUGUUUAGCACGCGGUGUCGAACGAAACGCGGGCGAUUUAAGCGUUGUCGGCCAUGCGAUCGACGGUAUAGUGUGAGAAAGCCUUGUUGUAAGCCCAAACGCAAACGCCGCUGCCCACGCAGAAGAAAGUCUUCUUGUGGACGAAAAUCACGCUACAUGUACCGUUGCCGAUCACGUUCAGGAGCAUUCAAGCGCUGCCGCAAGUGCGAUCGUCGGUACCGCGUCAGACGUAGAUCCUCAUCACGAUAAACUAAACAUACAAUAUUGGUGGCUGGUAUUGUCUUGUUGGUGAUUUGCUCUCCAUUCCAAGUGUUCGAGAAAUUGUGCUAGUGACUCCCAUAUGUUUAUAAAAUACUCAAAUUAAGAGAAAUUUAUUUAAA
Long non-coding RNA from Helicoverpa zea (corn earworm), 508 nucleotides. RefSeq lists it as uncharacterized. NCBI's taxonomy places the organism in Eukaryota, Metazoa, Arthropoda, Insecta, Lepidoptera, Noctuidae. The transcript is spliced from 3 exons. The record is from RefSeq and is a predicted model, not a curated record.